This 1678-nucleotide long non-coding RNA is filed under the name Homo sapiens (human). RNAcentral describes it as "non-protein coding LINC00937:12". The record is from RNAcentral. Lineage: Eukaryota; Metazoa; Chordata; Mammalia; Primates; Hominidae.
AGACGCCCCAGCUCCGCCGAGAGGCCGCUUGCGCAGGCUCCUUCUUCUUCCGCAAGUGUAGGCAGAGCCCCCGGAGCCAUGGCCAGCCCUUCCCGCAGCUCCGAAGCCACUGGCAAGCCCCGAGGCAGGGAUGGCCGGCCCAGGAGGGAGGAGGACGACGUCCCUCCCGAAGAGAAGAGGCUGCGGCUCUUGCUGGAGGGGGGAAGCGCACAGCCCCAGGACGGCGAGGACGGGGAGGACGCGCCGCGGCCGGGCAGGGUGGAGACCGGCACCCAGACAGGUGGCGACGGCAGAGGAAUAACUUCACUCUUCUCUGCAACGAAUCCCAAAAGUAUAUAAUUGAGCUGACUGCAAGGUACUUGACACGCAAGAGACUCCACAAAUGGGAUUCAGCCUCUGGAAAGUGGUGGUAGUUCCAGAUUUAUGUGGAUGUUACUUUGUUUUUCCCUAUAAAAUAUAUUAUUUAAACUAUCAAACUCUUGGCUCCUGGAUGCAGUCCUUUGCUGGUGGCAGUGGGCUGGGUACUGCCAUUGGGGAGAAAUGCUGCCCACUUAGAGAAAGAGAAAGUGGCUCUCUUUAAGAGGCAGAGGGAGGUUUCCAGUGCCAGUUUGUUUGGAGGCAAAAUGGCUGUUGUAUUAAAAUUGCCCAAACUUGGGCUGGUGCCUUGUGUGUUUAGAGCUCAUAGCCAUGAUUGCUUUCUUUCUUUCUUUCUUUUUUUUUUUUUUGGUGGUCUUUUUUCCAUCCUUUUGCUUGGCAGUUUUCUGUUAAUAGCUCCAACCUCAAAAGUUCCAUUAUACAGACACUAAUAGCAUCUACUAAGUGUCAAUCUGUAGUGCCUGCUAUGUGCCAGGCAUUGGAGAUAAUAUAAUGAUGAACAAGAUAAACAUGGCACUUGGAAAAGAGAGUCUAGUUCCCACUCUCAGCCCACCCCAAAGAGAAGCCAGAAUUCAGCUUCCAAAGAUCUCAGAUGCCCUUGCAUCACCUCCCUGAAGAGGGUGGGUGAAGCUUUGGUGUCUGAAGAGAAUUUGGCUGGACAAUCCCCCAGGUUUGGAACAAUGGGAAGGAGCUGCCAUCUGUGUUUAAGGUGAGAAGUGGGGGAGUGGCUGGAUAUCAGAGGAAGCCAAGAUGAAGAGAAGGUUUUUGUGAGUUCCUAUGCAUAGUGGAGACCUGCUAUAGUGAGGGUCCCUGGGGCUGAGCCUGUGGGUCAGUGGAAUGAUGCUGUGAGGAGGGUCUUGUUAUAGCAGAUGGCCCAAAGAAGGUUGAUGGAUCAUGAGCAGCUGGAAGAAUGGAGAGUUUGGGGGAUGUAGUUCCUACCUGGCUUUCCAACAGUAUGUAAGUCCAGAAUUCUUACAUAAGCCCAUGGAGAAGGGAAAGGAAUGCUGGUAACGACAAGAUUGAAUUCUCCACCUGCCAGGCAUCCAGGGACUCAGAGCAGAUUUAACUGAAGUUACAGAAAUAGGAAUGUGACAUUUCCUACAUUCGGGUGUGCUGGAGCAAAUGUAUUCCCUCUCUGGUUUGUGGGGAAUGAGAAUGCUAAUAGACAAGACUCCAGGUUUUCACUCUUAAACCUGGUGCCUAGAAAUGCAUUUUCUACUGGAUGCAGACAAAAGCUGCAUAUAGAUAUAUGCAUCGCUGCAUCUCUCAUGCCUUGUGUUCUGCCUAAUUUUCUCUUUUUAAC